CACAAUUCCUGCUUUCACCAUUUCUUCAAGCUGCUCUUUUACAACAAACUGCUUGGCAGGUGACGUGGUAAGGAUGCUGUUUGAUAGGGACCUGGUGGUUGGUAUAAAUACAGUGUUUCAGAACAUCAGUACGUCCAUGUUGUAAAACACACACUUGAGGGUUGGUUUCUAGAAUAGUCUUUAACAUUUGUUUGUCAAGGGGAUAUAGAUGUGCUUCACUUACUGCUGUGUCAAUUAACGUUUGUACAUUUGCCUCAACAGAUGCUGUUAUGAAUGCAGGUUGGGGUGGUGGAACAGAACUUAAUAGUGAGAGGGAUGGGUUGAGUGUCCCUGGAGGCUGCUCUGGUUGUUGGCCUGAAGGGCUAGGUAUGCUGUGAGGGACAUUAGGUAUACUGGCAUUACCAGGUUGAAAAGGAUACUCCUCUUGUGCGGUAGUCUUGAAUGAAUAUUUUCUAUCGAUGACAUUCAUUUGUAAGCCACUGAAGAAAAUGAAAUCCAACCCUAAAAUCACAGCGUAUGCAAGUGCCUGGGAGGACAGGAUAACAACAGGUACGGUGGGCCAAGUGACCAAGGCUUGAGUUCUCCUGGCAAGAAGAGCUUUCUCCACAGGCUUUCAUGGAUCAUGGUAUAGUUUGCACCUGUAUCCAGAAUAGCCUUUCCAUACCAACUGCCAAUACAGAUUGGAAUGAUAAGCUGUUGCGGAAUGACAGCAGAAGGGACAGGGGCUGGUUUAGAGGGUGCUUUCUUUAAGUUCUUAGAAUUUGAUGUUUUGUUCGUUGUGGCCAUGAUAAAAUUGUUUGUUGCUUGACCUCCAGGCUUACAAGACUAAAAUGGGCAUGGAAUGGGCUAGUGCUGUUUUGCAGAUUGGUUUGUGGUUAGGGAGGCAUAAUGUGGACAGAAACCAGGUGAGUGGUUUCCUUUACAUCUCCAACACUGAAUUUGUGUUUUUUCAGGUUGCUUGUUACUGGUGGGAUUCUGUGACACUUCAGAUUGUAGUUUUUGGCCCAUGCACAUUUCAAAUUGCAACUGCAGCUCAUGGUCUUUCUCCAGUUUGUGUCCUAGCUUUACAAGCUCUUCCACCGUGCUCACACAUCCACGCAGCUAACUGGCAAG
Molecule: long non-coding RNA, 1113 nt
Organism: Cyprinus carpio carpio
Lineage: Eukaryota; Metazoa; Chordata; Actinopteri; Cypriniformes; Cyprinidae
Source: Ensembl